UACGUAGGGUGCGAGCGUUAAUCGGAAUUACUGGGCGUAAAGCGUGCGCAGGCGGUUUGUUAAGACCGAUGUGAAAUCCCCGGGCUCAACCUGGGAACUGCAUUGGUGACUGGCAGGCUUUGAGUAUGGCAGAGGGGGGUAGAAUUCCACGUGUAGCAGUGAAAUGCGUAGAGAUGUGGAGGAAUACCGAUGGCGAAGGCAGCCCCCUGGGCCAAUACUGACGCUCAUGCACGAAAGCGUGGGGAGCAAACAGGAUUAGAUACCCUGGUAGUCCACGCCCUAAACGAUGUCAACUAGUUGUUGGGGAUUCAUUUCCUUAGUAACGUAGCUAACGCGUGAAGUUGACCGCCUGGGGAGUACGGUCGCAAGAUUAAAACUCAAAG
RNAcentral lists this ribosomal RNA (383 nucleotides) under uncultured bacterium. RNAcentral describes it as "bacterial SSU rRNA". It matches the Rfam family "Bacterial small subunit ribosomal RNA", at positions 524 to 906 of the family's 1533-position model. The record is from RNAcentral.